CAAGGAUUCCCCUAGUAACUGCGAGUGAAGAGGGAAAAGCUCAAAUUUUGAAUCCGGCGGUCUUUGGCCGUCCGAGUUGUAAUCUAGAGAAGCGUCUUCCGCGCUGGACCGUGUAUAAGUUUCCUGGAAUGGAACGUCGUAGAGGGUGAGAAUCCCGUCUUUGACACGGACUCCCAGGGCUAUGUGAUGCGCUCUCGACGAGUCGAGUUGUUUGGGAAUGCAGCUCAAAUAGGGUGGUAAAUUCCAUCUAAAGCUAAAUACAGGCGAGAGACCGAUAGCGAACAAGUACCGUGAGGGAAAGAUGAAAAGAACUUUGGAAAGAGAGUUAAACAGUACGUGAAAUUGCUGAAAGGGAAACGCUUGAUGUCAGUCGCGUUUGCCGGGGAUCAGCCUUGCUUGACUGCUC
This 406-nucleotide ribosomal RNA is filed under the name Rhizopogon sp. RNAcentral describes it as "LSU rRNA". It matches the Rfam family "Eukaryotic large subunit ribosomal RNA", at positions 69 to 468 of the family's 3401-position model. Lineage: Eukaryota; Fungi; Basidiomycota; Agaricomycetes; Boletales; Rhizopogonaceae. The record is from RNAcentral.